This 322-nucleotide ribosomal RNA is filed under the name uncultured Prevotella sp. RNAcentral describes it as "partial 16S ribosomal RNA". Lineage: Bacteria; Pseudomonadati; Bacteroidota; Bacteroidia; Bacteroidales; Prevotellaceae. The record is from RNAcentral.
GGAGUCUGGGCCGUGUCUCAGUCCCAAUGUGGCCGUUCAUCCUCUCAGACCGGCUACCGAUCGUCGCCUUGGUAGGCCGUUACCCCACCAACCACCUAAUCAGACGCAUCCCCAGCCCAUACCGGAAUAAACCUUUCAUACAACUCAGAUGCCUUCAUCGUACUACAUAGAGUAUUAAUCCGACUUUCGCCGGGCUAUCCUCUUGUAUGGGGUAGGUUGGAUACGCGUUACUCACCCGUGCGCCGGUCGCCGGCAAGAAUAGCAAGCUACUCUCCCGAUGCCCCUCGACUUGCAUGUGUUAAGCCUGUAGCUAGCGUUCAUC